GAUGAACGCUGGCGGCGUGCCUAAUACAUGCAAGUCGAUCGGGCGUAGCAAUACGCCAGAGGCGAACGGGUGAGUAACGCGUGGGCAACCUGCCCCUGAGCCCGGGAUAACAGUUCGAAAGGACUGCUAAGACCGGAUAUACUUGCGGUGAAGCAUUUCACUGCAAGGAAAGGGAACGCUCAGGGGAUGGGCCCGCGUCCCAUUAGCUAGUUGGUGAGGUAACGGCCCACCAAGGCGACGAUGGGUAGCCGGCCUGAGAGGGUGAACGGCCACACUGGGACUGAGACACGGCCCAGACUCCUACGGGAGGCAGCAGUUGGGAAUCUUCGGCAAUGGGCGCAAGCCUGACCGAGCAACGCCGCGUGAGUGAUGAAGGUUUUCGAUUGUAAAGCUCUGUCUUCCGGGACGAUAAUGACGGUACCGGAGGAGGAAGCCACGGCUAACUACGUG
Molecule: ribosomal RNA, 450 nt
Filed under: uncultured bacterium
Lineage: Bacteria
Description: bacterial SSU rRNA
Rfam family: Bacterial small subunit ribosomal RNA
Source: RNAcentral